AAAGUUAAACAAAUUAAAUACCCCGAAAGUAAAAGAUCUAGGGAUAAUAUUUGGUAUUGUAUUAUUCUAUAGUAUACUGUUGCAUUAGUAUAUAAAAAUAUGUUCCUAGAGGUGAAAGACCUUCACUUUUAUAGAUAUCUGGAUAAAUAUUAAAUAAAUUUAGUUUAUAAUAUAGUUACAAUGUGAUAAGAUAGUGUAAAGAGAACUUACAAUGUGUAUUAUGUUGGCUUUUAACUAUUACUUAGCGGCGUUAAACUUAAAUAUAAUAUUCUUAUAUCUAAAAUUCUCUAGUAAUAUUUUAUCUUGUAGCACAACUAAGAAGAUAAAUAAUGUAUAAAUUAGUAAAUAUAAUAAAUUAAUUGAAGGAACUCGGCAAAAAGAUUAUACGACUGUUUAACAAAAACAUAGCCAGUAGGAAUUACAUUAUUGGUGUGACCUGCCCAGUGAGUUUUUAACGGCCGCAGUACCCUGACUGUGCAAAGGUAGCAUAAUCACUUGGCUUUUAAUUGGAGUCUGGAAUGAAAGGAAAAACGUAUAGGAACUGUCUUCCAACCAAUUGUGUUUAACUUACUUAUAAGGUGAAAAUUCCUUCAUAAUAAUAAUAGACGAGAAGACCCUUAGAAUUUUAAGAAAGCCGUAGACUGUACAGCGGGCGAUUUUUGUUGGGGCAACAUUUUUUCAUAAAAUAAAAAAUAUAUUGUUAAAUACAUAACGAAAGAGUAUAAUAAAGUCUAAAUUACCUAAGGGAUAACAGCAUAAUUUUAAAUAAAGAUUGUGACCUCGAUGUUGGACUAGGAACUACUAAGGCUAAUCGUCUUAGUAUAAUGGGUUCUGUUCGAACUUUAUUUCCUA
RNAcentral lists this ribosomal RNA (852 nucleotides) under Montenegrina helvola. Its description in RNAcentral is "partial 16S ribosomal RNA". The stretch from base 346 to 592 matches the Rfam family "Archaeal large subunit ribosomal RNA", at positions 1787 to 2143 of the family's 2987-position model. The record is from RNAcentral. Lineage: Eukaryota; Metazoa; Mollusca; Gastropoda; Stylommatophora; Clausiliidae.